UAUAAACAUUCCCUUUUGUUUCACUUUGCAUGUAGUCAAAUCUCACUCUCUUUUUAAUAUGUUGCAGGGUUUGUGGCGAUGCUGCAUUUCAGCCAGAGCCCGGGCUACUUGCAUUAAGAGGGCUUGUGGUGCUCCCACGUUUCAACCAGAGCCCAGGCUACUUGGAUUAAUAGAGUGAUCUGAGUGAUCGGGCGCUGCUGUCUGUCCUCCAUAAAGGGGGAAUCCUGCCAAAGAAUCCAGUGGCAAAGAGGGCAAACGUGGUGCAGAUUCUUCAGAUCCUCCUUUCAAGGGCUUGUGGCGCUCCUGUGUUCCAACCAGAGCCCAGGAUACUUGCAUUAAUAGAGUGAUCUGAGUGAUCGGGCGCUGCUGUCUGUCCUCCAUAAAGGGGGAAUCCUGCCAAAGAAUCCAGUGGCAAAGAGGGCA
Long non-coding RNA from Xenopus tropicalis (tropical clawed frog), 423 nucleotides. RefSeq lists it as uncharacterized. Lineage: Eukaryota; Metazoa; Chordata; Amphibia; Anura; Pipidae. The transcript has 5 exons. The record is from RefSeq and is a predicted model, not a curated record.